Mesocricetus auratus (golden hamster) is the source of this 683-nucleotide long non-coding RNA. RefSeq lists it as uncharacterized. The record is from RefSeq and is a predicted model, not a curated record. NCBI's taxonomy places the organism in Eukaryota, Metazoa, Chordata, Mammalia, Rodentia, Cricetidae. The transcript is spliced from 3 exons.
UUCAGUUUCUGAUUUGUUAUCAAAGGAAGUUGGGAAGGGGGGCCAGGCCAUGUGUGCUGGGCUGCUCCAUCGCCUCGAGGCUGGCAGGCCCCAACCAGCCAAAGAACAAUUCCACCGAAGUUCAACUUGGGAGAACCAAUGAAUUUAUUGGGCUUACUUAUGGAGCAUGGGUGAGGCUACUCACAGGAGCCUGGGAGGACACCAAAAUAAACACACCAUUAUCUUCUUCUACUUGCCAUUUCUUACCCAUACUCCCCCUCUCGGGAACGGACUGGACAAGCUGGCUGGACCUGACAAAAGUCCCCACAACGUGGGCUACAACAUGGUAGGUAUAACUUAGUAUUUCCCAAAGAUUCCUGGUCUAGGGGCUCAGUUCCACGUUUGGUUGAGUCAUGAAGAGAUGGGAAGAAUGUGAGGGUUUUGAUACACAUACCAUCUUCACAAAUGGAGUAACAGUCUCUAGGAAGUUGAACUGUAUCUGGCAGUGUGCGAGCAGGCUUAACGUGUAAGCCUCUCCCGCUUCCUGUCCUGCCUCGUGAGCCACCGUCACAACACCCACCACAGGCUUCAGCAGAGCCCUGUAGACCAAGCCUUUACAGACAUCUGAAUCAAGCACCAGCCUCGGGUGCUGUUAUGCAAUACAAAACAGACAAAGACAAUUAACAGCAGCAGGGCAGCGCUCU